RNAcentral lists this long non-coding RNA (611 nucleotides) under Pan troglodytes (chimpanzee). Its description in RNAcentral is "long non-coding RNA NONPTRT005646". Lineage: Eukaryota; Metazoa; Chordata; Mammalia; Primates; Hominidae. The record is from RNAcentral.
AUUUUCUGAGAGGACACAUGAUGCACUCAGACUUGAAUGCAAGUCUUGCUUCCUCCUGACAUUUCAUCAAUCUCUAUGCAAAUGCUGACUGGCCCUACCUAAAACUUUGAGCUGAAAAUGGAAGACAGUAAGAGAAAAGAUCUAUGCAUAGAGAGGAGAAAAAGAAAACAGGAGAAACAGAAAAUCACAGAAAAGGAAAGGGAAGAUUUGGUGUGAAUCUGGGCAAUCCUACCAGGGAGAAAUCCAAGGUCAAAGUAAAACAAUGACUUAUAAUGAGAAACAGGAAGACUACACAGCAUACUGGAGCAGCACUUUAUUGAUAGUCUAAGAAAGAAAACAUUGUGAACUUUACCCAGUUGUUUGCAGCUUUGGCCCUUCCAUACAAGUUUUCUGAGGUCAGAGAUUAUGCUUAUUCAUGACUACAUCCCUCAAGGUGGCUUAUAGUGUGUGCGAGUGAGGCAUAUCAGCAAGCACUUGUUGAAUGAACAGCCUAAAACCUCAGUCAUCAUUCAAUCCAUGGAACCAGACUUAUAUUUAGAUCAGCCAGACAUAGAACUGUUGCUCCAUGAAGGAAUUCCAUUGACACAUCUUCGUUUUCAUCUAGCCACUGC